Pelobates cultripes (western spadefoot toad) is the source of this 9587-nucleotide non-coding RNA. Lineage: Eukaryota; Metazoa; Chordata; Amphibia; Anura; Pelobatidae. The record is from the annotation of a GenBank genome assembly.
UUAUACUUGUACCAUCAUCUCUUAUUUACAUGAAGUGUAAAAAGGAAGUGCUUUCCCUCAAUCGAAACCCACUGUGGGCGUUGUUGAGUCGCAGCUGCCUGCAUCAAAGGUGCAAGCACAGCCGCCUUGUAGUAAAGGAGAUCAGGGACCCUAGUGCCUCCCUCAUCAUAGUGUCUACAUAGGUGUUUUAAUGAUACUGGGUUUUUUUUCCUGCCCAUACGAACUUUGUUAAAUCUGUCUGUGCCUUAUUAAAGAAAGACAAGGGUUCUAGUAUUGGUAGUAGGCGGAAAAUAUAUUGUAGUUUAGGCAGUAACAUAAUUUUAAAGGCAGCUGCUCUCCCUACCCAUAAAAUAUACUUCUCUCCAGUCCCGUAUUUGAAGUUCUAUCUCUUUCCAGAUCCUGACAUAGUUAUUAAUAAAGAGGUCCCGAGGGUUUCGCGACAAACAGAGGCCUUGGAACUUUAGGUGCUUGUCUGACCAAUCAAAUUUAUACUUUGACCAAAGAAAUUGGGUGGCCGCUCGAGUAAGGUUAAUUCCCAUAGCUUGGGAUUUUGAUUUGUUUCAUUUGUAGUAAGACACAGCCCCGUAGUCCAUCAGGAGUUAGUGGACUGCUGGUACAGAUGCUAGUGGCUGGGUUAGUGUGAUCAGGACGUCGUCUGCAAACAGACUGAGCUUGUGUUCUUUCUUCCCUAUUUUGAUGCCAUGGAUAUUGGGCGAGGAUCGUAUCAUAGCUGACAUAAGUUAUCAUGCUAAUAUGUACAAAAGCGGCGACAGGGGGCAUGCCUGCCUCGUCCCAUAAGUUAGCGUGAAUCUAGUAGAGGUGAAGCCACCGUUGGAUACCACCGCCGUUGGUCUAUAAUAAAGGCCCAUGACCGGAGAAUGCCAAACUCUACCAGUGCAGAGACCAAGAAUCCCCAGCCCAACCGGUCAAACGCUUUUUCUGCAUCCAGCGAGAGCAGGAGGCCCUCGGUCCCAGCCUCUCUCAUGUGACACAACAGGUCCACCACUGUGAGUGUUAUCUGCCCCCUGGCAGCCAGUCACAAACCCCACUUGGUCCAUCUAACGGAUCACCUGGCUCCCCGACUGGGUACCUCCGUUGAAGGAUGCUCCUAGCACUUCCUGAAGACUCCAAGCACUGCAGCAGACACCACAACCACCAAACCGGAGAAGCAUACGAAUGCUCUCAAGCAUAUGAAUGCUGUAAGCAGCUGAACAGGAAAAGCAUACAAUCAGCUUACACUCCUGGCAAUCAGCAUACAAUCCAAUUCCCCCAAUAACGAGACGACACUUCGUUUUAAGGUCAGAACUGAACUUUUAAUCACACAACCUUCUUUUAAAGCUUUCUCCCAUGCAAGAGAGGGAUUUACAGUAAUUACACAAUACACCAAUCAUACACGAGUUGCCACCCACACAUCCCCUCCCCUUAGUGUGACACAUAAUCCCAUUAUGUAAGACACAGUUCCCCUUGUUUUCUGGAUGUACCCCUAAACCUAGGAGUAUCCCUUUAAAUAUUACAUCCCCUGGUGGCCCUGAUCUGGGUGAGACACAUAUCCAAAAAUCACCCAGAUCAGAUCAGGGGUUCAGGAGUUAUGGGGGUUUCAAGUUUUGUGGAGGUCCCUUUUGGUCAACUGAAACAUGGCUUUCCAGAUCAAACCAGUUCCAGCUAGUCUGGCAGUGUGCCUGGGACAACGCCCUGCUGGAGAACAAUGGGACAGGAAACGGGGGAGGGGUACACCUUCCUAUACACAAUCUAUACACAGUCUAAUAGAAGUCCAUACACGGUGCUUAAAGGGCCAGUAGCCACAUAAUAAAAAUCCAUCAUGCCCAAAUACCCCCAGGGCCAUAGUCACAUGGCAGGAGGCGGGCAAGCAAGCCCCUCCAAAAGCUCAUGGCAAACUCUCUUAAAGGGUUGAGUUUGCUACAUAUCUCCCUUUUCCCAUUGAGACUAUCCAGACUCCAGACCUCCCAAUGGUCUGGUGCUCUGAUAGUCUGCCGGCCUUUCUCAAAAGGUGUAGUUGUCCAGAUGGCCUCCUGCCACCUGUGCCCAGUUGUAGAUCCCGGGUCUUGUGGAAAAACAACCAGGAUGCCUUCUCCCCUGGUUGGACAAAGCUUUUGCUGGGGAUGGCGGAUGCAGUUCCCCUCCUCUAGACCUGGUGGGUCGAGGUCCGCAAAACUUUGCUCUGUGGUCCUCGGUGCCCUUGAUGUAGAUGGUGUGCCAUCAGGAUCUAAGGCAAAAGGGAAGAGAGGGCAGAAGCAGCCUGCUUUCUGACCGGUUGCCAGCUUUUCUUCCUGCAACACUCUCCCUUGUUGUAGGGGAGAACCGACUGUUUCCCCUUCCAAUAAAUGGUCCCGCUGUUGGGAAGGGGAAACAGCCUUCUCCCCUUCCAAUAACAUGCUCAGCCACUCCAACAUCACACUUGGUUGCUGGAGGGGGGGGCAGACUGUCUCCCCCUUGGCUAAAUGGUCCUGCUGUCGGGAAACAGGACACCCCCGGUGGUGCAGGUGCAGAGACUACAGUCCCAUCUGUACUGUUGUGGGGCUUAUUGUCUCCCCUUGGUGGGCUAUGCUGCCGCUGAUAAGGGAGGACGCUGCUCUCCCCUCCCAGUGAAACACACUGCCGCUUGGGAUCUGGGUCAACCGUCGUAAUGUUAGCCAGUAGCAUAUCUGGCGGUAAGCCUUUGCCGUGGUUGGUGAAGUUAAACAGCUUCGUCAGGUAUGGUUCUAGAAGAUCCCCAAAGACCUGGUAAUAUUUGCUUGUAAGGCCGUCCGGCCCCGGCGCUUUGUCGGCAGUCCCGAAAUCGUCUUAAGUAUCUCUGCAUCCGAUAAAGGUGCUGUCAGUGAUCCUGCUUGGUCAUUGGUCAAUUUGGGGAGGGAUACCAGUGUCAGGAAUUCUUGGAACUGUUCCUUAGAUGGUGUCAUGUUUGGUUGGUCAGUCUGUAUGUUUUAUAGUGCCUUGUAGAAUGUCGCAAAAGUCUCGCUGAUGUCUUGAGGUUUGCGUACUAUUUUCAUAUUUGUACGUAUGUGGGUGAUACGUUGUUUUGCCUGUCUGUGUUUGAGCAUAUUGGCCAAUAACUUGCCUGCCCUAUUUCCCUGGUGGAAAAUCUAGAUUUUAGUUUGUGUAGGUGGAGGUUCAUUUUGUGUAGGUUGUCCUCCUCAAUUAGGGAUUUUAGUGCCUGUAUCUUUUUAGCCAGCUCUCUGGAUGCUUUUCGUUUGUUUUGUUUGGUUAGGUAUUCUAAUUGGAGGAGCCAGUCUUACAUUUGUGAUUCCCUUUGCCGUUUUUGUUAUGUCGUCCUCCUUUUAAAAAUGCCUCUAAUCACAGACUUGUGAGCUAACCAUAUAUUGUCUAAGGAAGUCUCCCGUGUCAUUCCUAGUAAAAUAGUCUUGUAGUUCUACCCUAGCAUUCUUAACAAAGUCUACAUCUUGGAGUAGUGAUUCAUCAACCUCCAGUAUCCUUUCCCUUUGUAGGUGUAAGCAUCUCUUAUGUGUAGAAAGACUAGCGCCUGAACCCCUGAUCUGAUCUGGGUGUCCUAUCACGCAUUUGUCUAUUUGAGUCAGGUCCGUAGGCGAGAUGUAAAAGAGAUCCAAUCUCGUGUAAGAGUUGUGGACCGCUGAGUGGGAAGUAUAAUCUCUUUCGUUAUCAUGUAAUGUGCGCCACAUAAGUUGUGAAACUGAAUACGGGACCAUAAAGAUUUGCAGGAGCCCUGUAGCGUCUUCAGUCUUGGUUUUGUGAACUGAGCUGAAGAAUCCAGGCCUGGUUCCAUCCUGUCUAUUUAUUACAUAGCACCUCCAAAAAAUGAGCCUGAUUGGAAUUUGGGAAGUAGGCUUUCGUUAUAGUAUAGGUAAUGGUAAUUUUAUUUACAAUGCAGACUAGUAUUGGAUCUGAGAGUUUGCGCAGGAGAGUAAAUGCUAUGUUAUCGUUGACCAAAAUGCAUAGCCCUCUUGCCUUCGUGUGGGCCGGGGACUUAUAUUGCCUGAUAUAUUGUUUUGAGUAUAAGGAUUGCGGUGGCUGUUUGUUAAAGUAGGUCACUGCCAUUUGGACAAAUCUUUGUAUAGGUUAAGUUUGUGUUGGGUAUUCAAUGCCUUAACGUUGUGUGUGACUAUUUUCAUAAAUCAGAUCUCGGGUGUAUGUGCUUGUGAGUGUCUGUUCUGGCCUUAUCAGAAGUGCUGGUAGUGGGGGAGUGGGAGGGUAGUGGAGGGAAGGGUACAUAACCAUAAAACAUUAUAUACAAAAACAAAUUAUUUACAAACAAAACAGCCCAUAUCCUAUCUCCCAAGGGGGUGGAGAUGCCAUCAACUGGGCCAUGGCAACUCCCUGGGGUCGUGGUAAUUGUGAACCAUUCCAGUGUGUUUAAGUAGUCAGCCCACUGGCUAUGGCACUAUUCGCUGACUGCAUAUAAUGCUUAGGUCCCAUUAACUGCCUGAUAACCAACUAGCCCAUAUAUUCGGUGCCUAGUCUCUUGCCGCUAUACAAACAAAAUUUCCCUUUUUGUUUUUGUGAGAAUCAGUGACAACUUUAAGCGUAACAUCUCCAAGGUGUGGGUCUCCUAGUAUGAGUCCCAGGCCUGUGAUAGCCACUUGGAAUAAUAAGGGAAGAGUGCCUCUAUUAUGGCUUCUUGCCUAUAGAAGUAAAAAUAUCAGCUCCGCCUUACAUGCUAGUAACAGAACUAACAAGUAUAGACAUGCGGGACAACUCUACGUUACCCAAAGGGGUCGCCCCAUUCGGGCUGUAACAGCACGUGCUUCAGAGAAUCAGUUCCUUUACUGGACCUUUUGCCAUUCAGGGGACAGUCUCCUUGGGCGGGAUGCGAGUGGUUUUUAAGGGGGCUGAAUAGGUAUGUCCCAGUCCUGUAAGAUCUAACGUCCUUCUUCCACCAUCUUGAUCGUGUGUAAGGUUUUUCAUUACAAGUAGUUUGGUUGGGAAUCCCCAUCUGUACGGCACGUUUUGAGCCCAAAGAGAUUAUGUGAUUUGCGAGAGUUACCUUCUUUGGAACAGUGUGGCCGGGGAAAGGUCUGCAUAGAGUUGUAGAGCUUUGUAUUCCGCUAGCGGUCCAUUCUUGUGGCUGGCUUUCAUGAUUUGAUCUUCAAUGUGGAAGUAAUGGAUUCGCAUAAGCACAUCCGUAUGUGUUUCUGCCUCCCCACCCUGUGAAUGCGAUCUAUGAUGAGGAAGAAGGUUGUAACGUAAUGGAGCAAUUGCCUGGUUUCUAUGGACUCUGAUAUGACCCUUAUGCACACAUUGUUCCUCCUGGAACGAUCCUCAAGGCCAGUCAGCUUGUCUUCAGAGGUUUUCAGUCUGUGUUCUAUGUGUUGCAUUGCAUCAACCAUGCUAUUGUGGGCCUCCGCAUGCUCUGCCAGUUUAUUCUCUGUGUGAUGUGUGCUCACCCAGAUCAGCCACAUCUUUGGUGAGAGUCGCCACGGUCUCUCGGAAUUGAUGCAUCAUUAAGUGCUUCCAGCAAGGAUUUCAUCUUCAUUUCUGUGAUCAGACCAUCACCUCCCGUCGGAGCUUCGUAUUCCAGGUCUGAGAGCGGAGCCUCAGUCCCCACUUCGGCGCCAUCUUGUUCACUGUUAGGCGGUCUUUUGGACCUGCAGGCUGUUUGUGUGAAGAAGGCAGCCUUGUCUGCUUUUGUUUUAUUUUUCAACGCCAUCUGUCCCAGCAGCUUGUUAACUCACGGUAGAAGGCUUGAGUACCUUGCUAUUCCGCAGUUUUAGUCCCUAUUACCGUCAUGUUAUGCCGAUCGCGUAGGAGCACAAGAUUUAUGCGACCAUUCCCGUUGGCUGUUGGCCACGCCCACCGUUCCUAUACCUUUGUUGUUUUUUUUCCCAAUUUGCCAAUUUUUAUUGGUUUGCAUAAUGUGAGGAGUACAGCAUGGAAGAAGGAAAAAAGGGGGGAGGGGAGAAUUAAUUUAAUCAGUAUAAAAUUUAGGCUCGUACAGAAUAGGCAAUGAAUACAGAUAUAAUAUACAUGUCAUUCACAUAAGGACAUUGUCUCGUCAUCAGGUUUCACAGUUCAUCCAGCACUCUAAACAGGCGCAUCGUAUGCCUGGUACAGACCUAUAGGAGGUAGGGCCUUCAUAUCCCUCACUUCACGUUGACAUUUAAUUGUCAUGAUAGUUCAUUUGGUAGGCGAUCUCCACGAGUACCACAUACCCCAUGCUUUACGGGAGGUUUGAUUGGGAGGGAAUUGUGUUUUCAAGUCCUGCUCAUAUGAGCUCUGUGUAUCCAGGUCAGUGAGUAAGCGCUGAGACACAGGGGGCCUUUUUUCCCCCAGUUUUUUUAGGAAUUACCCUCUGUGCUGUCAGCACAAUGUGUAGUAGCAAUUUUAGUGUGGCCCUAGGUUAGCCCACCAGUAGGUCAAUUAGUAACAGCUGUAGGGGUGCUAGUGGGAUGGAGCACCCAGUUGUUGCCUGUGCAACGCUAUGUACACCUGCCCAGAAGGUUUGAAUGCGUGUGUGACGAGACCAAUCUCGCCGCAUUGCAUUGGAGAAGCCUGGUUGCUCACCUGUUGCCUUUGGAUUAUGGCCCCAUGUUAAAAGGCUUGAUUUUCCCCUGCAAAGACAUGAAAGCCGGGUCAUUCGGUGCUUGCCCUGUUUGAGCGGUGAUACCCCAGAUAGCUAUGCCAUGGUGCCCAUUCGUAUAAUGAAAGACUAUAGGAAAGACUUUGGCUCCAUGGCAAUUGAACUGUAUGUGUGUGCUCUGAGCGCCAUUCAAUAAUAAUGUGCGCUCAGAUCUGAGCUAUCUGGGGAUAUGUUGAAUGUACCUGUUUUGUGCAAUGGCUGCACAGUUAUAUGUUUUUAUGUGUUUUAUUGUCUUUUGCUGCCAUGUGUUCAAUUGAGUUUUGCCUCUGUCCUUGGAGAUAAUUGGAUUACUUCACAAUUAUCUCCAGGAUAGAAGACUCUGUGGAACUGGUUUUGGGCAGAAAAGCCACACUUCCUUUGGUCACAAAGGACUACGAUCUAUCUUUUGAACCACUGGACCAAUUUGGAGGAUUUUGACAUAUGUUUGUAUUUGGAGUAUGCUGAUUCUGAAAAUGUAAAUGUGAUGCAUACUUUUCAAGUUAUGGAUAAUGUGGAAAAAUUGUAUUUCUCUGCUUGUUAUAAUUACAUUACCCAUUGUGUAAGGUAAUUUUAUCACAGGCAGAGGGGAGGAUUUUGUGUGGGAGUGUCGGAGUGUAUUGUAUGUGUUUAUUGGUUGUGUUCCAAAACCCUGUGGGUGGUACUAAUGUGUAAGAAUGUGUACAUAAGCACAAUAAACCCACAGCUGUGACUGUUCUUGCUUGACCCUCAAAACAGAGCCUUGUCUCGUUCUUGGGGGGAUUUAUUGUAUGCUGUUCCAGUUUGGCUGCUAGGAGUGUAAACCUAUUCGUAUGGUUUUUCCUAUUCUGCUGUUUACAGCAUUCAUAUGGUUUCCUGUUCGGCGGAUUGGUGUUCUGCAGUAGCUGUGCCUGUGUCUCUGGAGGGGAAGAUCUAGUAAACAGCGCUUUAACCCUUUUAUACUGUGGGUGCCGUUACAAUUGGUGGCAAGCGGCAGGAUCGUUCCUACAGCCAGAAGGACAGCUACAGGAGACACCAUUUCUUUGGAUUUUACAAAUUGAGGGCAACGCACGACCCAGUACAGCAACCCUGACAGCACCAGGAUGGAACCAGCAGUGGAGUACGAUGAGGGUGUCAUGGAUGACCGAGAUGCAGUUCGCAAAGGCAUCUGGUACCAGGCACUGGGUAUUGUGGAGUACCAGCGGUGCGAGAGACUCCCCAAGGAAGACCAGCGAUUGCAGAAGCGACUAGCCCUGCUAAUGCCCUUCCUGGGAGAGCAGCCCCUGGAUGAAUGGGUGAAGGAAUUGGAGCUCCGGGUAUGGCAGGAGAUGUGGCCGGAAGAUGCCUACCAGGCGCUCUGGUGGUAUGGGGCACAGUACCUGCCCUGGACAGCCGAGCAUGACAAGCCAGAGGGAGAGGAGUUUGAUGGUCCUGGCUUGUUAUGGGAGGCUUUUUCAGAGCCUGAGUUUGGGAGCCCUACACAAGCCCGGUUCAGUGAUGUCUUGGAGUGGAGGGAGAGCAGAUAUGACUGGGACGACACUCAUGAGAUCGAGCAAGACCUGGUCCACCUAGUGACCCGAGAGAUGGAGCUGGAGCAGGGCUACCAAGAUCUGUUCCACUCCAGUGAGAAGGCUCAGCAGGGAAGCAGAGACCCAGAUCCAGACCUAUUCAGCUGGGUAGAUAUUGCAGAGUAUUAUUGAGAAGAACCCCAGGUGGUUGGUGGAGAUGGGACCGAGGUUUCUCCACCUGUCCUGCAGGGAAUUGGGAGCCCAGGCUCCAUUCCCCAGCGGCAGGCUGAGUUACAGGGGACAGAGACAGUUGGUCCUGUCCCCCAGCGGCAGUGUACCUUGCAGGGAGAGGAGAGCAGCGUCCCCCCUCCCCAGUGGCAGGGUGAGCUACAGGGAUGCUGGGCGGUCAGCUCAGAUCCCCAGCGGCAGAGUAAAUUGCAGGGAAUUGGGAGCCCAGGCUCCAUACCCCAGCGGCAGGCUGUGUUACAGGGGGCAGAGACAGUUGGUCCUGUCCCCCAGCGGCAGUGUACCUUGCAGGGAGAGGAGAGCAGCGUCCUCCCUCCCCAGUGGCAGGGUGAGCUACAGGGAUGCUGGGCAGUCGGCUCAGAUCCCCAGCUGCAGUGUGAAUUACAGGGAAUUGGGAGCCCAGUUUCCUUUCCCCAGCGGGAGAUACAGCAGGGAAUUGGGAGCCCAGUCUCCAUUCCCCAGCUGUACUGGGAGCAGAGACAGUCGGUCUCCCUCCCCCGCGGCUGGAAGUAUAUAUGGGAGAGGAGCUGGUUACCCCCUCUCCCCAGCGGCAGCUUAACAUAUCAGGGUGAGACAGUAAGGCCCACAACCGUGCAGAUGGGACCAUGGUCUCUGCACGUACAGCACAGGGGGUAGGGACGGUCGGUUCUGCCCCCCAGCGACAGGGCUGUUUAGCCAAAGGGGAGACAAUCAGAUACCCUGUUAGUCUGUUUGGAAAAGGGGAGACAUGUGACAAGACCAAUCUCGCCACAUUGCAUUGGAGAAGCCUGGUUGCUCGCCUGUUGCCUUUGGAUUAUGGCCCUAUGUUAAAAGGCUUGAUUUUCCCCUGCAAAGACAUGAAAGCCGGGUCAUUUGGUGCUUGCCCUGUUUGAGCGGUGAUACCCCAGAUAGCUAUGCCAUGGAGCCCAUUCGUAUAAUGAAAGACUAUGGGAAAGACUUUGGCUCCAUGGCAAUUGAACUGUAUGUGUUCAGUAAUAAUGUGCGCUUAGACCUAAGCUAGUUUUGCCUCUGUCUUUGGAGAUAAUUGGAUUACUUCUAAUUAUCUCCAGGAUAGAAGACUCUGUGGAACUGGUUUUGGGCAGAAAAGCCAUGCUUCCUUUGGUCACAAAGGACUACGAUCUAUCUUUUGAACCACUGGACCAAUUUGGAUGAUUUUGACAUAUGUUUGUAUUUGGAGUAUGCUGAUUCUGAAAAUGUAAGUAUUAUGUGAAUGUGAUGCAUACUUUUCAAGUUAUGAAUAAUGUGGAAAAAUUGUAUUUCUCUGCUUGUGAUAAUUACAUUACCCAUUGUGUAAGGUAAUUGUAUCA